CAUCCUCACUUUCAGGCCCAAGGGAAUCCGACCCGCAGCGAUCAGACCCCGCCCCUUCAGGGAGAACACGGCCCGUUGGCCCCGCUCACGGCGAGAGCACCGCCCACAGGCUGAAGAUCCUGCCCCUUCAGGACGGCCGAGAACGCGCCUGCCUUGCACCACCCCCACCCCGCCCCGCGUCCUUCAGGAGAGCCGGAAACGCUCCUACCCCUACUUCGCUUCUGCACGGCCGCGAGAACGCACCUGUCCAGCCCCCUGUUCGCUCCGCCCACUCAGCGCGCGCGGGAGCGCGCGCGGGAGCAGCUCCAACUUUUUCAAUUUGCCGCCAUCUUUACGGCGGCCGACUUCCCAGCCUGCCUCGCGUCCAGGGAGGCGGAGCUCAGAUGAGGUCCGGGGAAUGAGGUGAUUCGCCCAAAAGCACACUACAAAUUGGAGUCACCAGCAGGUCUGCUAUUUUGCCACUAAACCAAUCUGCCGGUUCAUGCUUCAAGCAAAAGUCCACUGGCUAAUGAUCAGAUGGUGAUAACUGGGAAUAAAGACAAUAAAAUGAGAAAAGCAAAAAGGCUGUUAGCUUGCUAUAACAAGGGAGUCAGCCACCAUCAUUUGUAUUUGGAUGAGACUCAAUGUCAGGCAGAGGAGUGGGUCACACCUUGGCUGUAAAGUGUCCUAACAGCCACCUACUUAUGAUUACUGCUUUCUUACCAAUAACCUCCCCAGCCUGUUGUGUGGCUCCUACAUCUUGAACAAAAGCGACCAAGGCAUACAUCUGUAGGAGACCAGAAUAUGCCACCCCAAAAUAUGCCUCCUUGGCCUAAGGAUUAUUCUGAGCUAGUAAUUUUGAGAAACAGAAGCUAUGAAAACAGCAUAAGCUACCCCUUUGAAAGAGAAAUUCACCCCGGCCACCACCCCGUCUGGGAAGUGAGGAGCGUCUCUGCCCAGCCGCCCCGUCUGAGAAGUGAGGAGCCCCUCCGC
RNAcentral lists this long non-coding RNA (972 nucleotides) under Homo sapiens (human). Its description in RNAcentral is "HSALNT0340638". Lineage: Eukaryota; Metazoa; Chordata; Mammalia; Primates; Hominidae. The record is from RNAcentral.